UACGUAGGCAGCAAACGUUGUUCGGAAUUACUGGGCGUAAAGAGUGUGUAGGCGGUUUCGUAAGUUCUGUGUGAAAUCUCCCGGCUUAACUGGGAGGGUGCGCCGAAGACUGCGAGGCUUGAGUACUGGAGAGGAGAGCGGAAUUCCUGGUGUAGCGGUGAAAUGCGUAGAUAUCAGGAGGAACACCGGUGGUGUAGACGGCUCUCUGGACAGUCACUGACGCUGAGACACGAAAGCGUGGGGAGCAAACAGG
RNAcentral lists this ribosomal RNA (253 nucleotides) under uncultured bacterium. Its description in RNAcentral is "partial 16S ribosomal RNA". It matches the Rfam family "Bacterial small subunit ribosomal RNA", at positions 524 to 776 of the family's 1533-position model. The record is from RNAcentral.